UCAGGACGAACGCUGGCGGCGUGCCUAAUACAUGCAAGUCGAACGAACUCUGGUAUUGAUUGGUGCUUGCAUCAUGAUUUACAUUUGAGUGAGUGGCGAACUGGUGAGUAACACGUGGGAAACCUGCCCAGAAGCGGGGGAUAACACCUGGAAACAGAUGCUAAUACCGCAUAACAACUUGGACCGCAUGGUCCGAGUUUGAAAGAUGGCUUCGGCUAUCACUUUUGGAUGGUCCCGCGGCGUAUUAGCUAGAUGGUGGGGUAACGGCUCACCAUGGCAAUGAUACGUAGCCGACCUGAGAGGGUAAUCGGCCACAUUGGGACUGAGACACGGCCCAAACUCCUACGGGAGGCAGCAGUAGGGAAUCUUCCACAAUGGACGAAAGUCUGAUGGAGCAACGCCGCGUGAGUGAAGAAGGGUUUCGGCUCGUAAAACUCUGUUGUUAAAGAAGAACAUAUCUGAGAGUAACUGUUCAGGUAUUGACGGUAUUUAACCAGAAAGCCACGGCUAACUACGUGCCAGCAGCCGCGGUAAUACGUAGGUGGCAAGCGUUGUCCGGAUUUAUUGGGCGUAAAGCGAGCGCAGGCGGUUUUUUAAGUCUGAUGUGAAAGCCUUCGGCUCAACCGAAGAAGUGCAUCGGAAACUGGGAAACUUGAGUGCAGAAGAGGACAGUGGAACUCCAUGUGUAGCGGUGAAAUGCGUAGAUAUAUGGAAGAACACCAGUGGCGAAGGCGGCUGUCUGGUCUGUAACUGACGCUGAGGCUCGAAAGUAUGGGUAGCAAACAGGAUUAGAUACCCUGGUAGUCCAUACCGUAAACGAUGAAUGCUAAGUGUUGGAGGGUUUCCGCCCUUCAGUGCUGCAGCUAACGCAUUAAGCAUUCCGCCUGGGGAGUACGGCCGCAAGGCUGAAACUCAAAGGAAUUGACGGGGGCCCGCACAAGCGGUGGAGCAUGUGGUUUAAUUCGAAGCUACGCGAAGAACCUUACCAGGUCUUGACAUACUAUGCAAAUCUAAGAGAUUAGACGUUCCCUUCGGGGACAUGGAUACAGGUGGUGCAUGGUUGUCGUCAGCUCGUGUCGUGAGAUGUUGGGUUAAGUCCCGCAACGAGCGCAACCCUUAUUAUCAGUUGCCAGCAUUAAGUUGGGCACUCUGGUGAGACUGCCGGUGACAAACCGGAGGAAGGUGGGGAUGACGUCAAAUCAUCAUGCCCCUUAUGACCUGGGCUACACACGUGCUACAAUGGAUGGUACAACGAGUUGCGAACUCGCGAGAGUAAGCUAAUCUCUUAAAGCCAUUCUCAGUUCGGAUUGUAGGCUGCAACUCGCCUACAUGAAGUCGGAAUCGCUAGUAAUCGCGGAUCAGCAUGCGGGU
This 1371-nucleotide ribosomal RNA is filed under the name Lactiplantibacillus plantarum. RNAcentral's name for it is "bacterial SSU rRNA". It matches the Rfam family "Bacterial small subunit ribosomal RNA", at positions 24 to 1363 of the family's 1533-position model. The record is from RNAcentral. Lineage: Bacteria; Bacillati; Bacillota; Bacilli; Lactobacillales; Lactobacillaceae.